AUACGGAGGGUGCAAGCGUUGCUCGGAAUCACUGGGCGUAAAGCGAACGCAGGCGGCCCGGCAAGUCGGGUGUGAAAGCCCGGGGCUCAACCCCGGAAUUGCACUCGAAACUGCCGGCCUUGAGUACGGGAGAGGGAAGCGGAAUUCCUAGUGUAGAGGUGAAAUUCGUAGAUAUCAGGAGGAACACCCGUGGCGAAAGCGGCUCUCUGGCCCGAUACUGACGCUCAUGUACGAAAGCGUGGGUAGCAAACAGGAUUAGAAACCCGAGUAGUCC
This 274-nucleotide ribosomal RNA is filed under the name uncultured bacterium. RNAcentral's name for it is "partial 16S ribosomal RNA". It matches the Rfam family "Bacterial small subunit ribosomal RNA", at positions 523 to 796 of the family's 1533-position model. The record is from RNAcentral.